AAAUGAAUAGACGGGAGCCCGCACAAGCAGUGGAGUAUGUGGUUUAAUUCGACGCAACGCGAAAAACCUUACCAAGGAUUGACAUCCCGGGAAGACGGCGUAAUGGCUGUUGUGCCCCUUCGGGGGAAUCCGGUGACAGGUGGUGCAUGGUUGUCGUCAGCUCGUGUCGUGAGAUGUUGGGUUAAGUCCCGCAACGAGCGCAACCCUUACUGUUAGUUGCUACGCAAGAGCACUCUGGCAGGACUGCCGUUGACAAAACGGAGGAAGGUGGGGACGACGUCAAAUCAUCAUGCCCCUUAUAUCUUGGGCUACACACGUACUACAAUGGCGCAAACAAAGGGAAGCGACCCCGCGAGGGUGAGCAAAUCCCAUAAAAGGCGUCCCAGUUCGGACUGCAGGCUGCAACUCGCCUGCACGAAGUUGGAAUUGCUAGUAAUCGCGAAUCAGCAUGUCGCGGUGAAUACGUUCCCGGGCUUUGUACACACCGCCCGU
Molecule: ribosomal RNA, 492 nt
Filed under: uncultured bacterium
Lineage: Bacteria
Description: bacterial SSU rRNA
Rfam family: Bacterial small subunit ribosomal RNA
Source: RNAcentral